Molecule: small RNA, 752 nt
Filed under: Pan troglodytes (chimpanzee)
Lineage: Eukaryota; Metazoa; Chordata; Mammalia; Primates; Hominidae
Description: retained intron
Source: RNAcentral
AGGAAGGUAGUGACGUCAUAGGUAAACAGGCUCUGUAUCCGUGGCAGCGGCCGUGGCAGGCUGGCUGGGUACCGGCUGCCGCUGACCCAGGAGAAGCUGCCUGUCUACAUCAGCCUGGGCUGCAGCGCGCUGCCGCCGCGGGGCCGGCAGCCAUGGCCAAGGACAUCCUGGGUGAAGCAGGGCUACACUUUGAUGAACUGAACAAGCUGAGGGUGUUGGACCCAGAGGUUACCCAGCAGACCAUAGAGCUGAAGGAAGAGUGCAAAGACUUUGUGGACAGUGAGUAUUGGGGAGAUACAGUGCCACUCAGCUUUGAGCUGCCAUUUCAACUGUACCCCAGGCUCAUCUUGGCCCUGCCACAGUGGAGCUGCUGGCUCCCUGGAGGUUGAAUCUGGCGUCUGUGAGUUCCCACGUGCUACCCUUUUCUGUCUGCCCUCUUGUGCUCUCAUGUGUCCCCAACAGGGCACCAGUCAAACCAAACACUGGGAUGGGGAGGGGAGGGUGUUUUUAGAUAUGCCAUCUUUCAUUUCUUGCUCUUAGAAACCUUAAACUUUCUGGGAACACAACCAUGGCUUGGGUGUGGGAAAUAGAAUUAUGUACUCAUGAUUUGAUUUCUUCAGAGAAAGUCUUCUCAGUGGCAGGUUCUCUGUUAUCUGGAGUUAGAAGUGAUAGGUGAAGUUUCUAGAAGCAGCUCAACAGACUUACUGAAGUCAUCUUUUGGCUGGAAAUCUUCAGGAAGCCUCCUGUCCCAG